CUGAGGUCGGAGGUUGUAAUAUAUCAAAUUUGCGGACCGCAUUAAAUUUUAUCUUUACUGAAAGGAACUUUUUGUCUCUUUUAUCAGGAGGAAAAUUAAGCUGUGAACUGGAAUUCCAUCAGGCUGUCUACUGUGAAGCCCUGUGGCUUUAGCAAAGGGGCAGCAGUGGUCAGAAAUGACACUCAAAAGAAAAUGACAUGGAAUUCACAGUGGACUUCCUACUCUGUGAAAGAAAGGGAGAAGAUGCUUUUGCUUCAUGCAAUCUUCGCUUCUAAGGAGGUUGCUGCUGUUAAGCACUUCUGCAACUUAGACACACAAAGAAAUGGGAACCCUUUGCAGCCUGUAGUGGAACAUGAGCAUGGACCCUUCAGGCUUUGUCUGAUUUCUUCCUGUUUCUCCGACGUGUUGCUAAAUCAUGGCAAUGGAAGAGCUCAUCUCCAGGAUGCCAAAUCCGUGCUGCCUUCCAGGUUUAAAAUCUUAAUCCCUGAAUAACGCUGCCGCCUGCCUCCCGGCUUCCUUUGGAGACCUUCCAGCUCUGGCCAGCCCUGACCCUAUUUGACUGAAGGUAUGUGGGGCUCAAAACUGGGGCAAAUAUGGCUUCUGGCCAUUAUUAAAAUGAAUGAAAACUAUGUAAUGGAUAAUUUCAUUUAAGACCUGGUGUGAUAAGAGUUUGUGAUCAAAUGCUGGUUUCAUUUGCAGCAGUGUGCUUCCAUUGUGACUUCAGAAAAAAUCAAUGGGUGUAAGGCAAGAUGAGUCAUAAUGCACACACUGUACCAAAGGGGAGUAGAAAUUUCUCCAUAAAUAACGUCUCUUUUAGCAAGAGGCAGAACCAAAACCCUGAAAAUCUAUACUGUAUUGAACUGCACAGUUCAGGAAAGAGGCUGUAUAUAUAACAGCACGUUUUUGAAUGUGUAGGUUGCUCCUUGUGGACGGAACCUUCCUUUGAGACAGUUGGUUGCUCAUUUUCACAAAAUAUCUGUUAAGUAAUUUCCACAUUCGGGACGUGGGAUUAAAAGAUCUGUGGGGGCUUUUUUGAAACUCCUGUGUUUGGAAGGCACCUCGCACCCUACAAGCAGUGGCAGCGAAGCCAGGGAGAUGCCUCUAGGUGGGCUACUGGGAGCACGGAGAUGUUUUCACAUGCUUGGGAAAAGACAAGAAGGCCAUUUUGUCAUUUGGUGGUUGGCUUCUUGCUGCUUAUUAAAUAGGCUGCCAAACUUGUGGCUAACGAGUGAUUUUAAUGUAGUUUGAAGGCAGCUUUUGUUUCCUUCAACUGCUAUUUUAAGAAAGAUCCCGUAAAAUUAAUUGACUGAUGAACUGUAUAAUUGAUGCUGUCUACACAGUGUGCACCAGCCAAAAUUGAUGGGUAGCAGGAGCGCUGGCAUCUUGGUAGGGGCUGCGCUAACCCCUUCGGAGAACCUCUGCCUGCCCUCCCUUUAUGCUCCUGGGUAGGAGAGGGCAUGUUUAGUUUUCUGCUUACUCUAUUCCCCUUUGUACUUGCUCAUUUGCUAGGUGCAUAAAGGAGAGGAGGUCACUUGUGCACAUGGGAUAAAGAGGUAUUAUGAAUUCUAAAGUGUUUGCUUUAUUGGGAAAGCACACUGAGCAGGAAGGCGCAGGAACAUAAUGUGUGAAUUUUUAAUGAAUGCUGUGCCAAGUGUUUGUGCAUUUUUUUUCCUACCUGUAGCAGCUUUAUUCAUUUGGGAGAGUACUGCCUACAAGAUAUUCCUUAGUAGUAUGCUGGCUGCUGUUUAGUUUUAAUAAAUUAAAUCCUUUAUAUCAAUGUAAUAUUCUUUAGACAAGCACUUCCAAGACAGAUUAGAAAUGAACUUAAGGGGAUUAAAAGCUUCUCUUGCUAAAAACAAUGUUUCAGAUGGGAAAUCCACUUAUUUAUGUCACUUUCAGUGGAGUACAUUUGUCUUUAAUAUGUUGCUACUGCUAAAGAAAGCAGCGCUUUGCCCAUGACUGCAGCCUGUCUGCUCUGCUUUACAUAUGCAGCAAUGUUUAUUUUCUUCGGUACAGUAAGUCGCUUUGGGAAAGAUUGAUGGCUUCCCAUAAAACUGCGAGCAACCAUUUUCUUUGUUAUUUAGAGAAAACAAAAGAUUUAAUGGAGCUGGAGUUUUAAAUAGCGUUAGUCUCUGUAAAAUGGGAAACCGUGCGAGUGGAGCAUGUGAGCAGAGAGAAAAGCCCGCUUUGAUUUUCCCUUGCUGGCGUGCAGCAGGCAGAGCACAUCUUCAGGAAGGUUCUCGUUAUCUGUGAAAUCCUGGAUAUCUUGGGAGCAGCCUGGUCGUGCUCAGGGCUGGGCAGCAGGCCCGGGGAGGAAAAAAUCAGCUCGCAGGAAACGGCCUGACCCUUAUCCAGCUGAUCUGGUUUUGUGUUAAAUGUUUGUCCCAGCACGUGGCUCAAUGAUGUGCCAAGCCUGGUGUUCGGGCCACUGGCACACCUCAAAAUCUCCUGAACGCCCUGUGGAGACCCAGCUUGGUGUACCCGCUGCGCAGCACCCAGGCUGGAUCCGAGGUUGUCUGGUGGGGAACAGGCAACGAGAAGGCCAAGGGAUCAGAGCAUUCGUGCCCCAAAACAGACAGCACAGCCCGCUAACUCUGCUGGCAACCUGAGCUUUCAGUUCACCUCCUGGGGCACGAAAUGCCCCGUUUGGGAGCGUGUUCCCCCGGGAGCUGAGCGCAGGGUCGGAGUAGGUGCCGGGACGCAGCUCACCAACAGCUCAGUUACAGCCUGUGGAGACGUAAUUAUUUAAUUGCACUGCAGGUGACUUCAUCACGGGAAGAGGUUCGCCCCUCUCAGCACACAAAGUGCGCCUUGGCAGCUGUGUCCCUGACACAGAGCUGAAUUUUGUUAUCUCAGGCACACCUCUCCCGGUCAUCAUUUAAAACUGUUUCAGAAUAAGUUCUGUGCCAUCAUGCUGCGCUAUCCUGUGAGGUAUUAUUUAUUUAAAUGGCUUCCAAGUGAGUUAUCUCCCAGUGCUUGCUUAUAAGAAGAUCAUUUCCCACAGGGCUUUCGGGUCACUGAUGCUCCAGGCUCCCCUGCCUGGUUUCAGUCCCUGUUUACCCACUGCUCCUGGCCCCUUCCCGUGCCAAAAAAAAUGAUGCCUAGCUUUAACUGGGGCACAUCUGAUAUAGCAGGGGAUAACUUUUCAAAGCAGUGCUCCAGGAUUGAGAUGUUUGACUCCUCUGGGAUUCAGUAGGACCCUACACUGAGGCUUUGUAUCAGCCUCAUAUUCCUAAGGCUGUAUGAGACCAGGCAGCUUGGCAGAAAUUAAACCACUCUCUUCAUUUUAUCUUAUUUUGUGCCAUUUUGUUGUCAGAAGCCAGAUUUAACUCCUCUCCCCCAAAAUAUUUUUUUUGGUGGUCUUAGCAUUUAUCAGACUUCUAAAUCCUUACAUAUUGCUCGUGAUAAGAGGAUAACUUCACCACUGGUUUCACAGUGGAAAAGGUAGGUUCAUUUUCUGCCAAAUAGCGAUGGGCUCUCCUGGCAGUGUAACCACUCCGUGUGCACUGGGGAUAAAACGUACACAUUGCUACAGUGCUGAGCUGAAAGAAGAAAACUUAUCAUUCAAGAAAAAAAUGAUAUAAUUAGGAUCAGGGCUGGAAUCUCACUGGGAAAUGUGGUGUAAAAAUGCUUCUCAUUUUAAAUUAAGCUUUCAAUGGCAAGUGCUUGGCUUUCAGCAACUCCUCUGAAACUCUUUUAAUUGAAGUUCCAUGAAAAUCUGGGGAGUUCAGCUCAAGUUCACCUCCCAAACCCAUCCUGAUUUCAUUAAAGAUCUGAUCUUUUUUUAUUUGCCAAUAAAAUAUAUAUGUGUAUGUGUGUGUGUAAAUCAGUAUCUGCUCCAUAACUGUUUUUUUAUUGUGUUUUUUUUUAAUUUUAUUUUUAAUUUUUUUUUUUUAAAGGAAGUUUCCCUUCUCUUUAUG
Molecule: long non-coding RNA, 3920 nt
Organism: Cairina moschata (Muscovy duck)
Lineage: Eukaryota; Metazoa; Chordata; Aves; Anseriformes; Anatidae
Source: Ensembl